Molecule: ribosomal RNA, 761 nt
Filed under: uncultured Chloroflexota bacterium
Lineage: Bacteria; Bacillati; Chloroflexota
Description: bacterial SSU rRNA
Rfam family: Bacterial small subunit ribosomal RNA
Source: RNAcentral
AGAGUUUGAUCCUGGCUCAGGAUCAACGCUGGCGGCGUGCCUAACGCAUGUAAGUCGCACGCACGGUCUUCAUGACCGUGAGUGGCGAACGGCUGAGGAACACGUACGAACCUGCCCGCUUGUGGGGAAUACCCCACCGAAAGGUGAGCUAAUACCGCGUACGCUCAUCCUUUCACCAGGAUGAGGAAAGCCUUCGGGCGCAGGCGGAGGGGCGUGCGGCCCAUCAGGUUGUUGGUGGGGUAAUGGCCUACCAAGCCCGCGACGGGUAGCUGGUCUGUGAGGACGAUCAGCCAGACUGGGACUGAGACACGGCCCAGACACCUACGGGUGGCAGCAGCGAGGAAUCUUCCACAAUGGGCGCAAGCCCGAUGGAGCAACGCCGCGUGGAGGACGACGGCCUUCGGGUUGUAAACUCCUUUCGGGGGGGAUGAAACGGACAGUACCCCCAGAAGCAGCCCCGGCUAACUCUGUGCCAGCAGCCGCGGUAAUACAGAGGGGGCAAGCGUUGUCCGGAUUUACUGGGCGUACAGCGCGCGCAGGCGGACCUGGCCGUGCCGUGUGACAAGCCACCGCUCACCGGUGGAGGGCCACGGUACACGACAGGUCUGGAGGCAGGGAGAGGGAUGUGGAAUGCCCGGUGGAGCGGUGAAAUGCGUAGAGAUCGGGCGGAACACCAGCGGCGAAGGCGGCAUCCUGGUCCUGUUCUGACGCUGAGGCGCGAGAGCGUGGGGAGCAAACUGGAUUAGAUACCCCCGUAGUCC